RNAcentral lists this ribosomal RNA (998 nucleotides) under Paenibacillus dendritiformis. Its description in RNAcentral is "bacterial SSU rRNA". It matches the Rfam family "Bacterial small subunit ribosomal RNA", at positions 464 to 1464 of the family's 1533-position model. The record is from RNAcentral. Lineage: Bacteria; Bacillati; Bacillota; Bacilli; Caryophanales; Paenibacillaceae.
CCACCGUGCCGGUUCCUAAGAAAAGCCCCGGCUAAUUACGUGCCAGCAGCCGCGGUAAUACGUAGGGGGCAAGCGUUGUUCGGAAUUAUUGGGCGUAAAGCGUGCGCAGGCGGUCAUGUAAGUCUGGUGUUUAAUCCCGGGGCUCAACUCGGGGUCGCAUCGGAAACUGUGUGACUUGAGUGCAGAUAGAGGAGAGUGGAAUUCCACGUGUAGCGGUGAAAUGCGUAGAGAUGUGGAGGAACACCAGUGGCGAAGGCGACUUUCUGGGCUGUAUACUGACGCUGGGCGCGAAAGCGUGGGGAGCAAACAGGAUUAGAUACCCUGUAGUCCACGCCGUAAACGAAGAAUGAUAGGUGGUAGGGGUUUAGAUACCUUUGGUGCGGAAGUUAACACAUUAAGCAUUCCCCCUGGGGAGUACGGUCGCAAGACUGAAAUUCAAAGGAAUUGCGGGGGACCCGCCCAAGCAGUGAAGUAGGUGGUUUAAUUGGAAGCAACGGGAAGACCCUUACCACGUCUUGCCAUCCCUCUAGCCGUCCUAGAGAUAGGGCUUCCCUUCGGAGCACAGGCGCCAGGUGGUGCAUGGUUGUCGUCAGCUUGUGUCGUGAGAUGUUGGGUUAAGUCCCGCAACGAGCGCAACCCUUAGCCUUAGUUGCCAGCAUUCAGUUGGGCACUCUAGAGUGACUGCCGGUGACAAACCGGAGGAAGGUGGGGAUGACGUCAAAUCAUCAUGCCCCUUAUGGCCUGGGCUACACACGUCAUACAAUGGCUGGUACAACGGGAAGCGAAGCCGCGAGGUGGAGCGAAUCCUAUAAAGCCAGUCUCAGUUCGGAUUGCAGUCUGCAACUCGCCUGCAUGAAGUCGGAAUUGCUAGUAAUCGCGGAUCAGCAUGCCGCGGUGAAUACGUUCCCGGGUCUUGUACACACCGCCCGUCACACCAUGAGAGUUGGCAUCACCAGAAGUAGGUGGCGUAACCGCAAGGAGCCAGCUUGCCCAAGGGG